GACGAACGCUGGCGGCGUGCCUAAUGCAUGCAAGUCGCACGCGGCACCUUCGGGUGCUGAGUGGCGAACGGCUGAGGAACACGUGGGGACCUGUCCGGGAGUGGGGGACAACACCGCGAAAGCGGUGCUAAUCCCGCAUACGCUCCGAGGAGGAAAGCCGAAAGGCGCUCCCGGGUGGCCGUGCGGCCCAUCAGGGUGUUGGUUGGGUAACGGCCUACCUAGGCGAUGACGGGUCGCUGGUCUGUGAGGACGACCAGCCAGGCUGGGACUGGGACACGGACCAGACCCCUACGGGAGAGAGCAGAAAGUAAUUUAAGGGAAUGGGCGCAAGCCUGACCGAGCAACGUCGCGUGCAGAAAGCCGGCCUUCGGGAUCUACUCUGCUUAGGGUAGAGAUGAUAACUGACAGUACCUGGAGAAUAAGCCCCGGCUAACUAUGUG
RNAcentral lists this ribosomal RNA (440 nucleotides) under uncultured bacterium. RNAcentral describes it as "partial 16S ribosomal RNA". It matches the Rfam family "Bacterial small subunit ribosomal RNA", at positions 28 to 507 of the family's 1533-position model. The record is from RNAcentral.